UGGGGAAUAUUGCACAAUGGGGGAAACCCUGAUGCAGCGACGCCGCGUGAGCGAAGAAGGUUUUCGAAUCGUAAAGCUCUGUCCUAUGAGAAGAUAAUGACGGUAUCAUAGGAGGAAGCCCCGGCUAAAUACGUGCCAGCAGCCGCGGUAAUACGUAUGGGGCGAGCGUUGUCCGGAAUUAUUGGGCGUAAAGGGUACGUAGGCGGUCUAUUAAGUCAGGUGUGAAAGCGUGAGGCUUAACCUCAUUAAGCACUUGAAACUGAUGGACUUGAGUGGAGGAGAGGAGAGUGGAAUUCCUGGUGUGGCGGUGAGAUGCGUGGAUAUUAGGGGGAAUACCGGUGGCGAAGGCGACUUUCUGGACUUUUAGUGACGCUCAGGUACGGGAGCGUGGGGAGCGAACAGG
This 403-nucleotide ribosomal RNA is filed under the name Verrucomicrobiota bacterium. RNAcentral's name for it is "Verrucomicrobia bacterium partial 16S ribosomal RNA". It matches the Rfam family "Bacterial small subunit ribosomal RNA", at positions 355 to 776 of the family's 1533-position model. Lineage: Bacteria; Pseudomonadati; Verrucomicrobiota. The record is from RNAcentral.